AAGCUCGAAAACACAAGAGUCAGCGGAAGCAACAAUAUCUGAGUACAGACAUAGGUUAGACAAGUUGCCUUAAGAAGGCUAGCACAACAGCAGCAACAAUCGAAAAGGCAAGGCCUCCUGCCUGGGAGCCUCCUAACUACUCCUGGUCGUCGGCGGCCUGCACGUAGUAGUAGGCACCCUCGGGGUAGUAGUAGUCGUCGGUGGUGUCGUCUGGAUCCUGGGCUCCACCAUCUGGUUGCGACAACCAGAAAGAAGAAGGAAGGGGGAAAAGGGGAAGCAAAGCAACCGUGAGUACUCAUCCAAAGUACUCGCAAGCAAGGAUCUACACUACAUAUGCAACAUUAUCAAAGGAAGGUUGUACGUGUGGACUGGGCUGCAGAAAUGCCAGAAUAGAGAGAAGGCCUAGUCCUAUCGAAGACUAGCAUCUUCUGGAAACCACCAUCUUGCAGCAACCGGAGGGAGUAGAGUAGCAUAAAGUAAAGUAGUAGAAGUGUUAUCAACCUCGGCCAGAGAUCCUUUCUCGACUCCCUGCGAGAAAGCAAUCCUAGAGCCAUACUAUCCAGUUAUCAUCAAAUUCAAUUCUCAUCACCAUCCAAUUUUCAUCACAAGUAUCCAGUUCUAGUUGUAUCGAUCGGGAUACAACUCCAAGUGUCCGUUACCGUAGGACAGGCUAUGCAUAGAUUAGUUCUUCCCUGCAGGGGUGCACCAACUUACCCACCACGCUCGCUUAACUCCGGCCGGACACACUUUCCUGGGUCAUGCCCGGCCUCGGCCAAACAAUACGCCGCAACCCGACCUAGACUUAACAGAGAGGUCAGCACGCCGGACUAAACCUAUGCCCCCAGGGGUCAUGGGCCAUCUCCCCGGGAACUCCUGCACGUUGCGUACGCGGCCGGUGAGCAGACCUAGCUACCUCCUUGAAAAAGGUAGGAGCUUACCAGUCCAACCCGGCGCGCGCCACUCAGUCGCUGACGUCUAUUAAGCUUCGGCUGAUGUAUACGACGCAGAACGCCCAUACUAUGCCCACGUGAUGGUUAGUGCUAUCAGGCCAGAGGCCCCUCGGAUCAAAUAUCCAAAUCGUAGUGGAUUAGGAGCACGCGGUAACAAGCAGAGACUCACGAAAGAUGUGACCCCGUUGCCCCGUCUCGAGGACUUGCGGCAAGGGCUAGGAAUGCCCGGCCACGCCUCGUAAUUAUCUCGCGGGCACCUUCCAGGUCAACCCGACUCCACAUCACUCGCGGGUACCCCUCAGGGUCGACCCGCCUUUCCAAGUAACAGCUGUAAAGUCCAAGGAUCAGUGUAUCCAAAACAUUAAGGGGAAAACCCGAGGAAUCACCCCCGGUGAAUUCCACUCGAUGUAAUCAUCAAGGUGAACGUAAGAGGAAUCACCCCCGAGGUUCACACUUGAGGGGUUGCACGACAGAGUCGUAUCAGAAGUGGUUAAAGAGGAAAUCACCCUCGAUGACCACGACCGAAUAACUACACUACAGGGUUAACAUCCGAAGUGCUGUAGAGGUGUCACCCUCGGCACUCGAUAGUAACCUAGUAGUGUCGAGCAACUAAGGGGAAAGUGAUGUGAGUGCCGGGGUCUGGUCUUCGAUCCCGUUGAUCGGGUCUUCUAUGAUGAAGCAGGGGCAACAAGGACAAGGUGUGGGGUCACUGAUGGAUCACUAACCAACCUAUACUAAGCAGUUUAGGAUAAGCAGGUAGGUAACAAUAGCAGGUUACAAUAAACAGGCUAUGCAGCAGAAUAGGAGCAAACAAUAACAGUAACAAAAUCUAAUGCAAGCAUGAGAGAAUGGAAUGGGCGAUAUCGGGAUGAUCAAAGGGGGGGCUUGCCUGGUUGCUCUGGCAAGAAGGGGUCGUCGUCGACAUAGUCGAUCACAGGGGCGACAUCGGUCUCGGGGUCUACCGGAGAGAAGAGGGGGAAGAAACAGUAAAUAUAAAGCAGGCAUAGCAUCACAAAGCAUAACAUGGCAAUAAGCUGUGCCGGGUGUGACCUAACUUAAGGCUACACGAUAUAGGAGAGGGGGAAACCAACCGGGAAUGUACUCCCGGUUCCGGACCUGUGUCAGACAAAUGAUCAGAGAUGGAAUGUUCCAUGUUCAGAUAGUUAGAGGCAUCUAACAGGUAAACGGACCGCGUAUCCGGAUUCAUUGGAUUUUACUGAGCAACUUUCAUGUAGAAAACAUUUUCAUCCGAGCUACGGUUUAUUUUCUAUGAUUAUUCAAAGUUUUAAACAUAUUCUGGAUUUAUUUAUUUUAACAGAAAUGGAAAAUGACGUCAGCAUGACGUAGGAGUGACAUUAGCAGUCAACAGUCCGGUUGACUGGUCAAAACUGACACGGGGGACCCACCUGUCAUUGACAGGGGGCUAACAAUGGGUUAUUUUAAUUGAACAGGGGUUAGUUAGCAGUUGGCCCCCACAUGUCAGUGACUAAUUAGUCUAACAAGUUAAUUUUACUUAUAAAAACGUUUAAUUAGCCUAAUUAUGGGUGUGGGCCCCAUUAGUCAGUGGUUGGGGGAAUAGCAUCCCGCGUUGACCAUGGUCAACGCGGUCAAACACAGGCGCAGGGGCCCACUGUCAGCGGCAUUGGGCGGGGCCCACCGCUACCAGGUCAGCGUGGCGGCCGGAGGAACACCGGCGGCCAUUUCUUGCGGCGGUGCGGCUCGGGAUCCACCGGAAAAUGGCCAUAGGCCAUCAUUUUGGACGCGGAUGGCCGCGUUUGAACGUGCACGAGACGGCACAUCCAGCGGUGGCACUAGCACGACCGGAGAUGGACUAAAAUGACGGCGGCGAGUAGCGAGGCGGACGCCGGAGAUCGGGCAGCGACGGAAACAGAGCUAGAGGGCGCAGGGAGACGAGCUAGAGGCUCGGGCGGCACCAGGGAGACACCCUGAGCACGCUCGUGUGCUCGGAUGAGCAUGACGACGCCCACAGCGACGACGGUGUGCUAUGCGGCGGAGCUGAGCUCGGCCAUGGCAGACGCGGUGGCUACAGGGGCGCACGAGUCCAGGGGAGCGAGGGAAGGGGAAUAGGGGCUCACCGCGCGGCGCAAGAAAGGCCUGUGGUAGUUUAGGAGCAGCAGGAGUCUACGGUGUUCGUCGGGGAAGAAGGGGAUCGCCGGCAACCCGAGGAAGACGACGACGUGGUCGACGACGCAGAGCUCCUCGGCUCCUUCCAGCGGCAUCAGAAGACGCGGCAGUCCACGGCGAUGCCGAGGAGCACGGCCAGGCCGCGUCGAAGGCACGGUGGCCGCGGAGAUGACGAAGACGCGGCGGCGAUGGCGCUCGGAGCAGAUGGAGAGAGCUCGAGAGGGGAUCUGGUGGGGAGAGGCAGAGGCAGAGAGGAGUGGGAGUGGCCGUAGGUGAUGGGAGGGGUACUCAAGGCGUCAGGGCGUGGAGGCCUUAUCCUCCCCGCGGCGCCUGUAGCAGCAUGGCCGGCGAGGUGGGUUCGGCAGCGACGGGCGCGCUGUAGCGACUCGGGUCGUGGAACAGUGCGAGGGGGAGACGACCGGGGAGGGGGAGUGGGCUGGCCAGCUGGAGUGGGCCGGCCCAGGUGGGUGUAGUCCAGGGAGGAGGGGGGUUGCCCUCUCUCUCUCCCUUUUCCUUUUCUGUUAGUUUUCCUUUUUAUUUAUUUUCAGUAGCUUAUGCAUUUUCCUUUUUACCAAUAAUGACUUUGCAAAAUUAUGCCACUGACCAAAACAAUUUCAAAGAAUUAAAGUGCACUGCCACAAAAAGGAUGGGAGGCUUUUGGAAUAGUUGCCAAUUUUAUAAAUUAAAAAGGGCAUUUAAUUUAUUGCUUUGGUCACUGUUUUAAGUAGUUUAGGCCACUUAAACCCUUUGCAAAAAUGUUGGCUCACCACCAAUAUUAGUUGUGGAAUAUUUGGCACAUGAUGAACAUUUCUGUUUUCAUGUUUGAUAAAUUUUUAAUUUCCCUCAUAAUUUGAAUUUGAAUUUGACUUUGAUUUUUCAUCAAGUGAUAAUUAUCUCAGUAAGCAUGGUGACCUGGCACCAUUAACAGGGGAUUACUGUAACAUGACACUGAGGGUGUUACAAAUCUCCUCCACUACAAGAAAUCUCGUCCCGAGAUUUAAGGGGUGUAGUAGGGGGAAAGACUCGGAAAGGACGGAGCUCAACACAAGAUAGUUACCUGGGGACUAUCUCAAUGAACAUUGCAAAGAGGCAUCUCUCGAGUUGAAAUUCAAGGAAGUCAUCAAGAGCAAGGUAAGAAGGUACAAUAGAAAGUUUCAAGCGAAUGGACAAACGAUUGAUACCUGAACUGAGUGUGAGAAAGGGGUUCAGGGCAUCGGGAAUAGAUCAUCUCUCCGAAGGUGGCUCGUGACAUGAUACGAAGCCAAAUGCAAGAAUAUUUCGGAAUCAAAGAUAUACAAGAGAGUCAGGUUUCGAUCUUGUGGAAAUGUGGGUUAUGGGCCCACCAUGUGGGUUAAAAGUAGAAAGGGGCCGAUAGCAACACAUGUCAGAUGAUAGACUGUCAGUUAUGUUGCCAACAACGCUGGUACCAAGGGCGAGGGACGAAGAGAACCAUUUUCCUGCUCGUUAAAACAAGGCGGACCAAUAGGCAAAGUUCUCGUCCAUUGGGGUUUACCGGAAUGUCACCAACAUUAAUAACAGGGUCGUACCGACUGAUUUGUACCUCGAGGUGUUUCCAUAAGUAGGGGAUUAUUUCUGCUUAUAACAUAUAUAGAUCACCAGAAAGGUUAAACAAACCAAUGGAAAGGAAAAUGUGUUUAAACACAAGAUUUAGGAAUGUAACUUUCCCAAGGAAAGGCGGAGCAUGAUAUACAUGACAGGGCUCCAAGUAUGAAACCAUUUAGACAAAGGGGCAAGGAAUUUAUGAGGUUUACCCAUACCAUGGUGUUUGGAUAAUUGAACAAGAAGCAUUUAGCAUUUCAAUUCAAAUGUUCAUGUUGAUAUUCGGAAUACCACAGUCAUGCUUUGAGAUAGCACUGAUAUGGUGUUUCAAUUAACGAUUGGGUAUGUAGAUCAUAAGAGAUUCAAAUCCAAGAUUAUCUCGGAACGUAAGGUAUAACCAAACACGAUCAGGUCUGUGUUGGCAGGAAUUCAAGGACGUUGUCAAUGAUAACCCAAUCAUCGAGGGGCGAGGAUGGCAUUUCUCAUCAUGAAUUCGGUUGAUAUCCUGAAACAGGUCAGUAUAUUGAUGGGGAUCACGACAGAUUUUGUUGAGGUACUAUGAAGAGGCCAUCGAACAGCGACGACAUCAAGCAAAAGGAAUGAUGAAGCGAAAGGUUAUUGGAACCACGGAUGUGACACAAGCUCGAAAAUCAAGCUUGUUGUUUGAGGUGAAAUGACAAGAUGAGGAAGGUCGACGUAAGCUUAGCUCGUCGUCGGAAGUUGUGUUCCGGGAAGAAGGACCGGGUAGCACAGUUAAAAUUAGCUCGAUAAUGAUAUAGCCGACCAGGAUAGGAAUGAUGUGAUGAAGUAUCAUUCCAAUGAGAAUUCACAAGAGGUAGUGCAAUGACACAAUAUCCUCGAGAUAAUAGGGGGCAAUACUCGAGGUAGAUCAAAAAUAGAGGUUAGACAUAUGAAAUGAUCUGCAGAAGACAAGUAUUUUAACUUGUCCGGGAAAUGGAGUUAAGGAGAAACUAUGGUCGGAACCACGGUUACGAAUGGUCAAACCACCGAUACAAGAUGAACUUAUAACAAGGGGUAAUCAUUUCUGCAAGCAGCUUCCACGAUAAGUUCUACAUCGGGUCCAUGGGCAUGAACACAAGGGUUCAAGGUCGGCUCCCACUUCUUCAAUGCAUAACCUUUCAUUCACUCCUCAUUUUUCGAAGAAAUUGUAGUGCAGAGGAUUUAUCUGGCGAAGUACCAGAAGAGUAAGACUCGUGAGAACUCUCGGGUUCACUCGGCUUAUGGAAGGCAUAAGUUCAACCCAUCGGGGCAUUUUUACGAAUCUAUACAACCAUCAACCAAGCAAAAGAUACGAGUUCAAAAGCAGAGUAUCGGAGUCAAAGCAGAUGAUACAAUUUACCGAAGGUAUUAUGUAUCAGGGGAAAACUCACAAGACUUUGGAUGUGAAGGACAUUGUUGGAUAACAACCCAGCACUGGAUCUGGCGAUUCAUGACAGAGUUGAUGUGAGUAUCGGUAAUCAAUCAGAUGAAGAAGGGGAUGCAAAGGCAUCGGCUUAUAGAAACGUCUGAAUGAUUCGAUGCAUGGAUACAAAGGAAAUUAUGAUUUCAAGACGAAGGAUCAGAAGCAGAGGCUCUGAUCAAAAGAUGUAUAAGUUGAAUAGACUUAGAGGUGUACCCGAUCAAAUCUGGAUUGGGCAAGAACCAGCUCAUAUCUGGAAGGAUGUCUAAGCCGGAAAGAAAUUUUCGAAAGAUUAAUUGAUGAUUGUGAGUAAUCGCACACACGCUGUUUCCAUAGGAACAGAAUGACAAUCACAAAGAAUUCUAAAGAAUAUUGCUAGACAUAUGGAAUUAAUCCUAAUGCAAGCAGGCAAGGAGAAUCAAGAGCAAUAGGCUACAGAGGAAUUUGAAAGAUCAGAUAGCCUUUUCAGGUAUUUUGGAAAGCAAAUGAACAACUAGGGAUGAACGAACCCCCGUUAAGUGAAUUAUCCGCAGUUCGAAAAGAAGCUGCAAAGGAGAAGGCACAAAGGAUUCUCGGAACAACGGAGAGUACUAGUGGUAUCUUGUAAUAACAGGAGCAACUAGGGAUGAAGGUACAAGCGGCAAGGAUGUUAUUCAGGGGGAUUAUCGAAGGUAGGGAAUUGCAAAAGCGACGGGCGCAAAGUCUCGAGAGAACAUCGGAGAGUAUCUUCGAAAUCUUCAGGUGCAGCAGGCGAUCAUUUGUAAUAAGGGGCUCUCCGGGAGGAAGUAGAUACGUGACCCUAAUGUUAAAGUUAGCAAAAUUGUUUAACCCGAAUAGAAGAGAUGUCAGAGUCCCAGAGUAUAGACGAGGAGUAAAAGAUCCUAAUACCACCCAAUGGCAAUGUGGGGCCAUAAGCCGCACAACCAUGUUAGUAAAAGUUUUGUAAAGUCUAGACUCGACUUCGGCCAAGGAGUGUGGAAGGGGGAUUCCUACAGGCAGUCGGCUCUGAUACCAACUUGUGACGCCCUCGAUUCAAUCGUACACUAAUCAUACACGCAAAUGUGUACGAUCAAGAUCAAGGACUCACGGGAAGAUAUCACAACACAACUCUAGACACAAAUUAAAAUAAUACAAGCUUUAUAUUACAAGCCAGGGGCCUCGAGGGCUCGAAUACAUUAGCUCGAAAACACAAGAGUCAGCGGAAGCAACAAUAUCUGAGUACAGACAUAGGUUAGACAAGUUGCCUUAAGAAGGCUAGCACAACAGCAGCAACGAUCGAAAAGGCAAGGCCUCCUGCCUGGGAGCCUCCUAACUACUCCUGGUCGUCGGCGGCCUGCACGUAGUAGUAGGCACCCUCGGGGUAGUAGUAGUCGUCGGUGGUGUCGUCUGGAUCCUGGGCUCCACCAUCUGGUUGCGACAACCAAAAAGAAGAAGGAAGGGGGAAAAGGGGAAGC
This 7529-nucleotide long non-coding RNA is filed under the name Triticum aestivum (bread wheat). RNAcentral describes it as "long non-coding RNA (TAES_LNC026992)". Lineage: Eukaryota; Viridiplantae; Streptophyta; Magnoliopsida; Poales; Poaceae. The record is from RNAcentral.